UGAUGAACUCUUUUCUAAAUAUUUUUAGGAAACAAAUGUCCUGGGCUUUAAAGGACCUCGUAAGAUGAGUGUGAUCAUACCAGGAAUGAAUAUGGACCAUGAAAGAGUUUCCAUCAGACCGAGAAAUGAACACGAGACGCUGCUUGCAAGAUGGCAGAACAAAAACACAGAGAGUGUCAUUGAGCUGCAUAACAAAACUCCCGUCUGGAACGAUGACACCCAGUCCUAUGUUUUAAAUUUCCAUGGUCGAGUCACACAGGCCUCAGUGAAAAACUUCCAGAUUAUUCAUGAUAAUGAUCCUGAGUAUAUAGUGAUGCAGUUUGGCCGCGUGGCUGAGGACGUGUUCACCAUGGACUACAACUACCCCAUGUGCGCUCUACAAGCCUUUGCUAUUGCCCUUUCAAGUUUUGACAGCAAGCUGGCUUGUGAGUAAAGGGGCAUGGGAGAGCAUCCUCUCAGAGGAAUCGGUUUGCCAUAUGAUUCCCAAUUCCUGCCGGUGUCACUUAUGGUCCAUACUAAGGUCAGGGAGAAUGCAGUUGUGGAGGACCACUGGAUUGCUGGAGAGAAAUUUAAAAGGAACCUUCUAAAAAUUCAGGACAUUCAGGAAAUAAUGCUUUCCUUUUUUUUCUUUUUCUGUCAUAUUUUUUUCUGGAAGCGGCAUCGAGUUUGUGUAAAUAGAAGUUCUAUCUCAUGUCCUUGAUUAUGUUCUGGAGAUGUGCCAUGAUAUACUGUACCGUGGCUCCAGUAGCACCAUUAUAACGGUGUGUCUUUUCUAAAUCCAGAAAGCGCGCUCUCAACAAAUUUCUUUUUACAUUUUAAGAAUUAUUCCGAGGCUGCAAUCUCAAGGUUGCAUUCCUACAUCGAAUAAUCAGAACUUCACUUCAUCCAUCAUGAAAGAAAGAUCACAAAAAAAAAUAAUGCACUUUUUUUGCAUUUGUAAGGAUCUCAUGUAGCUUACGGCCAAGUCUGAGGGUUGAAAUCCUAUCUGGACUGAACUUGAUGCAUCACUAUUAUACAUGUAGAGAAGGGCACGAUGAAUUUUAAUCACAGUAGGAGGAAAAGGAGAAGUAGAAAGCACAAAAUAAUGUUGCACAAGUCACUUAAAAUCAAAGCUGUCUUUAUGUUUUAACAUCUAUAUGCUUUUUAAUUUGUUUCAAAUGAAAAUGUAUGGGGGAGUACAGAAAAGGGAAAGCUCUAGAUGCCGAGAAAUCAAAACGUAAGUUGAAUUUGGCAUGUUGCGUGUUGGGAAUUUAUAGCCUUGUAUUGCUGUGGUGAUUCAAACAUAUUUUGUAUGAAGUGAUACAAACAGUUGGGUAAAGGCUCUCUGCAGAGAAUCUUCUUAUUUGAAGGAGGCUGUGUAAAGCUGAGGAAGGUAAAUGGAAAAAUUUUAUUAAAUUUGUCUGGCCUUUUGCGAUUUCACUAUUUGUUGACUGCAUUUUUUGAACUUUCAGCAACAACCACUUUUCAUAUUUAUUUCCCACUGUAAUUACACCUGAAACCAGUUGAAACUGUGUAUGCUGUUCUGUGAUGUAAACGUGCCAGCUACUGAGCUAAAGCCCUCUAGGCGAAUGUAGCGUACGCUGCAUACAAAUCAGAUGUUGGAAGGACACCGAGUAGCUUAAAAUAGUCUGAGGUUUUUGUCUCAUUUUUUCUGAUUUCAAUGGGAUAUAUAAAGAAAUACCAUUUCAAAACACAAGCGAAGAAUGAGCUUCUCUUCUUUCCUAAAUGUCUUAGAAGCCAAGAGCUGCAACUGAAAGCACAGCAUAAAGCAACCUUUAAAAAAAAAAAAAAUCUUUUUGCCAUUGUUCCAUAUAAUGUAAUUGCCAAUGACAUGUGAAGUAACAGGAUCUAUAUGUCGUUCACCAGAAAGGUAUUGAAAUGUGAGUAAAGAGCAAAAGCAGUUGUAUUUUAUACUGUGUGUACUCAGAUCCACCUUUUUACUCUUUACGGCCUUUACUUGGUUGCACAACCAAAGAUUACAUAAGGAGAAAAUGAGAUCAAAUCUGCUUGUCUCGUAGCUGUCAGCUCCUUUUAUACGAUAGAGGCAGGCCAUAAGGAGUGGUUGUGCCAUCUGGACUGUAUAAUUUCAACUAAUAAAAGAAAUAUGCUGUCUUCUUCACGUUUUGCCUUCAGGUCUCCUUCCCAGUAUACGGGCAAGAAAAUUUCAGAUAGAUAAGGGAUGGAAAUAAGUAAUGCUGUCAUUUUUGUCUAAUAUUUCUUUUCUAUGAGAAAACUCUGCUGGCUUUGAGCAGUGUGUUGUUGAUGGACUCAGCCUGUCAAAUGUCAUCUUUAAAUAACAGGAGGCUCUGUCAUUUUUUCAGAUCUCUUUACAAGAAGCUUUUCCAGGCAGUGGUAUGAAGUGGAAAGGCACCUUUUGUUUGAGAGAAAAGAGCAGUCCGUUCCCUCAAAGAACAUUCAAAAUGAUGAGUCAUGAGCUGAUGUCUGAUAGUGAGCACUUUGGACAUGGAUGCUUUCUUUUUCUGUAUAUUCUGUGGUUUCCCACUGCCUCACAUCCUCAUCCAUGAUCUCACUUUGGCUUUUAACAGAGGGGGCUCUUAUGCCUUUGGUUACUUUCCAUCAGUCUUCAAAAAUGAGCUCCAGUGAAAAGCAGAAUUUUUGCUUGAACUACUGUAAAAAGAGACAGACAGGAAUUCUUGGUGCUGGUAUGUAGGCCCGUUCUGGGUUUCAAGAACUCUGCAGCAUGUGGAUGGUUGAACGUGUGACUUUAAUUCUGUGGAUCACCACUCCCGUGUUGCCUUUAUAGCCUGGGAAAGUGACAUCUGACAUAGUUUUCUGCCACUCUGUGCACAAAACUCUGUUAAAGUAACUAAGCGUCUUGUGGUGCAAAUAUACAGUGUGUUGGCUUUGAGAGCAGAGUUGGUUAAGGAGAGGUUAUUUUUAAUCCAGAUCUUAACAGUGGUCUCACUUGUACCCUGACCCAGAGGGAACUGGCACGGAAGCUUGUGCACAAGAGUGAGAAUAAGGGGCAGGGGAAGGGCAGAGUUCAGCAUCUUGGGAUAGCUUUGCUGCCAGCACAUUGUGUAACCUCACUCUCACUGUGUAUUCUUUCCAGGCCAGGUAAUUUUUUUAAUCUGUAAUGCCAGGAGGAAGGUGGUGCCUCAAACUCCCAUCAUCGUAACAGAAUCAGUCACACAGGGACAUCAGCCAACAAGCUGCUGAGAAAGAAGUGCCCCACGUAAAUUUAGGUCACUACAGAGAGGUGUUGACCUGAGACCAACAGCAAUAUUUGUGCUGUGUGGCCUUUGCCAAACCCCUGACUCCUCAUGGUUGUUGAGUGCAGUGCUCCUUUCCUUCACUUGACUGUUGCCCUCCGCUCCAGAAGCAGUUGCUCAUAAUUUGGACUAGUACCUGUUUAAUUUCUGGUGGGCACUUUCUGAUGAAGGGCCCUGCUGCUUAGCAAUGCCAGCUGAUAUUACAAGUUUUCCAGCACAUCUGCAGAUUUUGUUUUGCUAACUUAGUAAAGUCACAGCAGGUUCUGUCUGAGUCGUGCCUGAGACUGCACACUCCCCACAGUUAGAUUGUCCUCCAUAGCAGCAAUAUAUCUUGGAAUCAGUAUGUAUUUUCAGACAUAUGUGCAUCUGAAAGUAACACAGGAGUAUUUAGUGGCAUACUCAUAUUGGCUGUAGCUUCUGGAGGGGCUGCACAUUAAUGUGCAACAGAACAUAAUCUUGUUUACUCAGUGUGACAAAGAGUAGAAUGGUACCGAGCUGUGUAUUUCCUUCACACAGUCCUAGUGAGUGUUUGGAUACAGUAAAUUUAAUAUUAAACUCCUGCUAUUGAUAUUUUUUGCAUCUGCUGUUGAUUUUGACAGAGAGCUGUAAACAAAUUCCUUGCCUGAAUUGCUUAUAGGCAAAUACUGCACGCUUUAAUGAAGUUCUUAAUCUAACUUGUCACUCUGUGUACAUCAAACAGUUUCUUCCUGGCCCUUUAUCUAAUUUUCUUCAUCUCUGAUGUUCUGUUCCUUCUCAUUCUGUUCACAAUCCCUUUAUCUUUUCUUCAGGGACGUGCAACUCAAAAGUGUUUAUUUUGACAAUAUUCCUCAGUGAUCUCUCCACAGAUGAAUAAUGCCUUUGGUGCACAUCCAGUGAUGCUCCCACAAUAAAAGCCUUAUCACAGGGGGGAAUUUGGCCCUUUGGCUUUUGAGUGGAGUAAAUUAACACAUUAAAAAGGAGCAGAUAGAAAAGCUUGCCUAAAAUGUAAUCGCAAUUUCUCUCAGUAAACAUUGGGUAAACCAGAGUUUCCAAAUCAUUGGUUGCAAAUCAAUGAGCAGAGCUGUCCACAAGCCUGGAGGCAGACUGUUAUACAAAUUCCCUUUGUAGUGCUGCCUUAUUUUUCUUUUCAAAAGGCUUAAAGCCAUUCUGUGAACUGAAAUGUGCCAGUGCCCUAAAACAGUUCGUUUUCUAGAAGCUAAACACCACUCUGUUCCUUUUGUAGGAUAUGUGGCACAUAAAGGUGCACUCAUCCCAUAAAACAGGGAUGUUGUAGCACACUGUUAGAGAUUCUGAUGCUAAGAAGGCUGUAAGAAUGGUUUUGCUAUGACUGGGCAGAUCUCACUAUUCUUGCUGCCUUACCAUAGUGCCACAGACCGUAUCCUUACGAGGGAAUGAAAGUGAAAGAGAUCUGGUGGAAAGAGCUGUUCACAAAAUCUGGUAGCUGCACGACUGAAAAAUAUUACUGUGGACUCAGAUGACAUUGUGGGGAACCAGUGCCAGACUUUCUGGUUUUUUGAUCCCUUUGGAUAAACAAAGAAGUAAGGGGGACUUACUUUCAACAAGCCCAGGCAUCACUGAGGUCUCUAUAAGUGCUGAGUGUCAGACCUCCAUUUUUACCUCUAAAUAUUUGAUCCUGUGGAAUUCUAACUGCUUCCCCCAGCUAUCACAUUGCUCUCCUACACCUGUAUUUGCAAGCUUUUCCUUUUUUUAGAGAAGCACAUCCUCACCAGUAAAAUAUCUUUAUUUGGCAAAUAAGGAUGGCACAGAACAGCAGUCACCUUUACUAGAAUUAGGUGCUGACAGCUCUCAGGUAUUUCAAAUGCUCUUAUUUUUAUUACUAGACGACAAGAAUUACACAUAUAAGGCUUGAACUAAUCUUACUACAGAUAAUGUGCUACUUUGUGAACCUGUGUUGCUUCUGUUCUUCAUAUGAAAUAUACCUUCUGGGGUUCUGCUUUGUAAGUGUUCAAAGUUAAUUGUGUGAAUAUUCUUUCUGUUCUUGCCAGGGAACUAAGCAAAGGAUUUGCACAGCUCUCUCACUCUGUUGGUGUUUUGCAUUGAAUGAUGGCCCAGUAACGAUGCCUGUGUAUUGGAUGAUAAUGCAUUUCUAUGUUGUUUUCAUUUAACUGCCUCGAAAUUUUAGAUUCCUCCUUUUCAGUAAGGGCAUGUUUACCCAUACUGGCAAUGAAAAGACUUGAAUUAGCAUCCUGAAACCGUUUAAUGAGUGCAGUACGCUGGUGUGCUAAAUUGCUUUAGGAAGAGGACAUAAUUCAGAAAAAAUAUGCUUACGUUCUUGAGGGGAAAAAAAAAGUUCACUUUAUAAAUUGGUUACAUCUAUACCAGCAAUUUGAAAAUUACUCUCUAUGUUUUUUCCCCCCCUUAGAUGUGACUCAGCUGCUCAAACCUGAGUGGUUAGGGCAGACUUUGAUUCCAUCAUCGUGCACAGCUGAUAAAAAACAAGUCUCAUAACUUCAGGCUACCUUUAUAGUCUCAUGGGAUGCUUACAGAGCAGUCUGUUCCCCACAUUUGUCCCUAUAACUCUGUGUUUUCUACUGAGGUUAUCCCAGCUGGCACAAUGCCAUUAGAAGUAUCAGUAAUUUAUAGAGUGAACUUACUGAAACUAAUAAUGUUGGCUAUAAACCCGCUUAUAGAUUUUAGCAUUAAAAUCAAGCUAAUUUUAAAGCUUACGGUUUGGAUAGCAUUUCUGCAGGAUUUUCUUUCCUUAAGCUUGUCUUGAAUGUUGGGCUCUCACAUAAGUAGUCAGCUCCUGACCCCAUUCCAUACUGCAUCAGGGACUCGGCGUUAGGUCUGACCAUACAGACCUCCCCGCUCAGGUGGCACCACUUUGCUUUUAGGGAGCUUUCUGUUGACAGCUUUUCUUACUGCACUAUCUUUCAAUACAUCUUGGCACCAGUCUGUUAUUAGGUCAGUAAGUGUCAGCCUUAAAAAAAAUAUCCAGAAAAUUCUCGUCAGGCAAUUGAAAUAAUUACACUAAAAUCAAGUUUCAUGCAUAUUAGACGUUAGGAUGGAGUCUAAGAACAAAGAUGAGGGCUGUGUAAGUGUCAGGAACAGGAAAGUUGCUCAGCAACUCAAUUAAAUUGGGCCAUAGAGAUUUUACUUUCACUUAGCAAAAAUCAGUGAGGUUCUGUUUCACUUCUCACUGUAUUUAUAGGAAAAUUUGGUGUGCUGUUGCGUAGGCUGAAUAUGAACAAAUGUAUUGUAACAGACAUACAGUUCAAAGUAGGGCUACAGCAGUGAUGCUUACUGUUACAAGCACUGUAACAGGGUUGUCUUCAAAAGCUGAGUGUGGAACAUGGCUCUGCAGCUACAAUGGAUUUUGUUAGCCAUUGCAUUCAGUGACACUAUGACAGGUUUGGCCCAUCAGCCUGAGGCUCUGUGACAACAGCACUGGUUAUUCUGCUUUUUUGAUUACGUAGCAUGUGUCUGUGAGGGUGAAUUCCUCUUUGGCAUCACUGCAAAUCCCUUCUUGCAGCUUGUAGAUACUUUUUAACAUCUUAGCAAUAUGUGUUACUGGGAUUUCAUCAUUUUCACUUAAGAUCGCUGACAUUUAUCCAUCUGUAAUUUUCUCGUUUCAAGUUUAUACAGGUUUUUCCAUAUGGGGACUCUCAAGAAAGUUGGUAAAACCUAUGUCAGUGAAUUAAAGCGCGUUAAAUCCCUGUGUGUAUGUUCUCCUUUCAAAGUAGGGUGGCCUUUAAUUCGGGUUGCAUAAUCCUCAGCGGGAGGAUUCAUCACGUUGCACGGUUCAAGGUUGUUGGUGAAUGUAAGGCACUGAGUGUGUUUCUGGCCGAGGCACUGGAGAAUAUCUGCAAAAGGAUUCUCCUUUCUGUAUUCUCAGGGUGGUGGUUACAGCAUACAGUGCAGCACCUCUAAUAGCUGCCUCCUUGAGCUGUAGUCACAAAGCUCAGUACCUACGCACUACAGGCCUCAUUUCUGAAGCAGUCCUCUUUUUUACCAUAGUGGUUUUCAGCCCUCUAUGAAUAACUGACAGCUGCAUAAUUAAUUUAAGCUUCCUGGGAUUGUUGUAGAUGCCUGGGACUGUAUGUAAAAGUGGUGCUUUAGUGGUAUAACAGAGCAAGAUGUUAAGAGCAUGAUGUAAGCACACCAGCAUGAUCAGGUUUAUUUUUACAGUGCCCAUCACAGGUGUGCCUGUUCUUUAGUAAGAAAAUAAUCAUCCUUUCUCUUUUUCUUCUUCAUUUCUAUCUGCCUGGAUCUGGAGGACAAGCACCCAUUUUAGCACUCAUGCAAGCAGCCACCAUGUACAGAAACAUGCACACAGCAUAUUUGUUAUGGAUGGGUUUAUCACUAAGCAGUGCCACCGUUACAUGCUUACUGUCAUUCUGCCAUGUAACUGUGCAUGUUUUCCCUGUGUGCUCUUUCCCACCCUGUGUGUUGUCGCCAGUCAGAGGACAUUGCUGCACAGCUGUGCAUGGAAGCUUAGAAAAGAACCUGCAGGACUGAAGCCGCAGAGAUACAGCUCUCCUGAUCCUGAAGAAAUAGCGCCUUCCGAAGGCAGAGAUUGGGACCUGUGGUUCGGUUAACUUUGUAGAACUUUCCAGGCCUUUGCGUUGCACGUAAGAAGAUAACACUUCUUCAUUAUACUUCUUGCACUAUCUUCAGCCCACAGCCCAAACAAAGGAACAUUAAGUCAAAGGAGCACAGAAAUAGGAAACAAACCAGAAGUGAAAACAAGCUGCCUUUACAGGUCUGGAGAUGCACCAGCACCCAAGCGGGGCAGUGGUUCUGUGACAACAGGGUGAUUUCUGGGCAGAGAAUUAACAUCCUGCUUGGCAUCCCUCAGAGUGAGUAAUGCAUUUCAGUACUUGAUGGUAGACUGUGGUGGUCAUUGGUUUUGUUGCAUUAUGUCUGUCCGUAGCAACUGUUUUUCUCUUGUGCAGCUUUACUUAUUUCAUUACGAUGACAUUUUCACCCAUUUAUUUCACGUUAGGGAUUAAUCCAAAGCCUCGUGUAACUGGAAGUUUCCAUCUAGCUUCUGUUGUCCCUUUGUGUCCCUCCAUCAUGCCAUAGGUACACGUCACCUCAAGAGUCCUUACGUUUUCUUCUUGAUAGGCUUCUCAGAAAUCAGGCAUUAUUGGCAUAAAGACUUCUGCACAGGGGCUUAGCAGGAAGCAAGGAUUUUGCCUAUACCUUGUUCACUAAAAGGAGUAUCUAAAAUGUCAGUCAGGGAGGAAGUUGCCCUUUUCUAUUAAACAUGCCAUAAAAUUAUUUGAUGUUACUAUUGUGAUUGAGACACUUAGAAAAACAAAACAUUGUUAAUAGCUGUCCAUGUUUUAAGGAAUAAUACUGAAGAAUGCACAAGAAUUCCGAAUCACAUACAGAGUUUCACUAAGAAACAAGGUCUGUAAGAAGCAAACCUUAUUCAGUGAAUUACUAGAAAACAUGUAUUGAGAAAGAUAAAUGCUGGAGCUUUGUUAAUCUUAGAAUCUAUAAAGUGUACAAUUCUCUACUUGUGAUUGAAACUAUUUCAAAUUAAAAAAUCUUGUACUCAGUGACAUGAAAAUAAGGUCACCCUCAUGAGAUGCAUAGUAUAAAGAAGGCACAGAGACCUGCUCUGCAUGGCAGGAUUCUCAUUAUUAGGAGUAGGUUUAAUUUAUGAUUUACUCAACAUUUUCCAAAGGUAUGUAAUGCUAGUCUAUGUGUUCUACACACACACACAUUACAUAGUCUUAAAAUUCUAUUAGUCUUUGGUACGGAUUAAUUGAUCUUCCUUUCCACCGUCUGCACAAUGAAAUAAUUUAUUAAUUUGUUUUCAAGAAAAUUAUCGCAAGAUACCCAUAAAAGACUAUCAUUUGAUUCCUCUUCUAAAACCAUUCUGAACAAGUGAAAUCUUUAUGUGGAGCAGCUUAAAAAAGAAACUCUCUUAAAUGGUCUUCAUACAAGUGUCUGCACUUAAGGUGGCCAACUGUGUGCAUCUCCUUUUGGCAGUCAGUCCAUCUGUACCAACAUCAUUACAAGACCGGGGCUCCUGUGUCUCCUUUUUGAACAGUUUCUUACACUAUUUAGGGUAACAAGGGAAGAAGUACCUGUGGGGGACAUUUUGCAAUUGAUACACAUGGAUGCAUUCAAGGCCAGGCUGGAUGUGGCUCUGGACAGCCUGGUCUGGUGGUUGGCACCCUGCACACAGCAGGGGGGGUUGAAACUCGAUGAUCUUUGAGGACCUUUUCAACCCAGCCCUUCUAUGAUUUACCUUUAGCAGUAUCUCAGAAAGCCCAUACUUCUGACAUGGUACAUUUCUGAAAGUUCCCGGCAGACACUGAGCUUCCCAACACUGUUCUCAUCCAGCAAGCGAGGGGCUGAAACAUCCACUGUUCGAGAGCAGCUGCAGAAAUGAACAUUUUAGCAUUUGUUGGGACUGUAUCUGCCUGUGAAGAGAAACACACCUUUGUUUCUGACUUGUAGAAAAUGUAACUUCUACAUGGAUGUUUCUGUACCUGUACACUGAGAAAGCAGUUCUGUGAUUUCUUUUUUAUUCCGACCGUAAACAUUUUCUAAUGCAUCUCUUUGCCUUUCUUUAAAUAAACCAAUGAUAUACAAGAAAAUGUGAGUACAUUAUAGUCUAGAUUUCCUUCAAAUUAGAUGGAAUUUUAAAAAUGGAAAAUGUCAAAAUGGACAAAAAUUGUCUUAAUACUGAGAACCAGUCAUGUUUUCUUCAUAAAGCCUCCACUAUGUUACAGUUGUUUGCACAAGAUGUCUUGUUUGGAAUAGUUAAGCAUCUCCCUUUGGUUUGGACCUAUGUGAAGUUUCAGGUAAAAUUGCAGAAAUGUGCUUUUUUGAAGUAAAUUUUUUUUUAAA
Meleagris gallopavo (turkey) is the source of this 10064-nucleotide non-coding RNA. The record is from RefSeq and is a predicted model, not a curated record. NCBI's taxonomy places the organism in Eukaryota, Metazoa, Chordata, Aves, Galliformes, Phasianidae.